AUGAAUAUUGCCCUCCUCUCCCGCUGGCUUUGGCGAAUCUCGCAAGGGCACGGUGGUCUUUGGCUUGACAUCAUCCGGAACAAAUACCUGCGCGGAUAGACUCUCGCCUUCUGCCAGAAGUCUGGAGGUUCUCAGUUCUGGCAGUCGAUCGUCCAGCUUCUUCCGGUUCUCCGUAUCGGGACCUCCAUCUCGGUGGGAUCUGGAACCUCGACGCCGUUCUGGUUGAUCGUUGGGCCGGAGACACCCCCUUCGCGUCUCGCUUCCCUGGCCUCUUCUCCAUCUCCGUUGACCCCGUGA
Molecule: ribosomal RNA, 297 nt
Filed under: Triticum aestivum (bread wheat)
Lineage: Eukaryota; Viridiplantae; Streptophyta; Magnoliopsida; Poales; Poaceae
Description: partial small subunit ribosomal RNA
Source: RNAcentral